This 71-nucleotide transfer RNA is filed under the name Candidatus Tremblaya phenacola PAVE. RNAcentral's name for it is "tRNA-Cys (GCA) (tRNA-Cys-GCA-1-1)". It matches the Rfam family "tRNA". From Rfam's summary of the family: Transfer RNA (tRNA) molecules are approximately 80 nucleotides in length. Their secondary structure includes four short double-helical elements and three loops (D, anti-codon, and T loops). Further hydrogen bonds mediate the characteristic L-shaped molecular structure. tRNAs have two regions of fundamental functional importance: the anti-codon, which is responsible for specific mRNA codon recognition, and the 3' end, to which the tRNAs corresponding amino acid is attached (by aminoacyl-tRNA synthetases). tRNAs cope with the degeneracy of the genetic code in two manners: having more than one tRNA (with a specific anti-codon) for a particular amino acid; and 'wobble' base-pairing, i.e. permitting non-standard base-pairing at the 3rd anti-codon position. The record is from RNAcentral. Lineage: Bacteria; Pseudomonadati; Pseudomonadota; Betaproteobacteria.
GGCGCGAUAGCAAAUCGGUUAUGCAACAGCCUGCAAAGUUGUUUAGACCGGUUCGAUUCCGGUUCGCGCUU